Molecule: transfer RNA, 72 nt
Filed under: Marmota monax (woodchuck)
Lineage: Eukaryota; Metazoa; Chordata; Mammalia; Rodentia; Sciuridae
Rfam family: tRNA
About the family: Transfer RNA (tRNA) molecules are approximately 80 nucleotides in length. Their secondary structure includes four short double-helical elements and three loops (D, anti-codon, and T loops). Further hydrogen bonds mediate the characteristic L-shaped molecular structure. tRNAs have two regions of fundamental functional importance: the anti-codon, which is responsible for specific mRNA codon recognition, and the 3' end, to which the tRNAs corresponding amino acid is attached (by aminoacyl-tRNA synthetases). tRNAs cope with the degeneracy of the genetic code in two manners: having more than one tRNA (with a specific anti-codon) for a particular amino acid; and 'wobble' base-pairing, i.e. permitting non-standard base-pairing at the 3rd anti-codon position.
Source: Rfam by way of RNAcentral
GGGGUUGUGGCUCAGCAGUAGAGUACUUGCCUAGUAUGUGUGAGGCACUGAGUUUGAUCCUCAGCAACCCAU